UGAGGAAUUUUGCGCAAUGGGAGCAAUCCUGACGCAGCAACGCCGCGUGAGUGAUGAAGGCCUUCGGGUCGUAAAGCUCUGUCAGGUGGGAAGAACGUGCCUGGAAUGAAUAAGUUCGGGCAGUGACGGUACCACCAGAGGAAGCACCGGCUAACUCCGUGCCAGCAGCCGCGGUAAUACGGAGGGUGCGAGCGUUAUUCGGAAUUACUGGGCGUAAAGCGCGUGCAGGCGGGAAGGCAAGUCUGAUGUGAAAGCCCCGGGCUUAACCUGGGAAGUGCAUUGGAAACUGCCUUUCUUGAGUACUGGAGAGGAAGGGGGAAUUCCCGGUGUAGAGGUGAAAUUCGUAGAGAUCGGGAGGAAUAUCAGUGGCGAAGGCGCCCUUCUGGACGGAUACUGACGCUGAGACGCGAAAGCGUGGGGAGCAAACA
Molecule: ribosomal RNA, 428 nt
Filed under: uncultured prokaryote
Description: bacterial SSU rRNA
Rfam family: Bacterial small subunit ribosomal RNA
Source: RNAcentral